CUACGGGUGGCUGCAGUGAGGAAUAUUGGACAAUGGGGGCAACCCUGAUCCAGCCAUGCCGCGUGAGUGAAGAAGGCCUUAGGGUUGUAAAGCUCUUUCAAUAGUGAAGAUGAUGACGGUAGCUAUAGAAGAAGCCCCGGCUAAAUUCGUGCCAGCAGCCGCGGUAAUACGAAUGGGGCAAGCGUUGUUCGGAAUCACUGGGCUUAAAGCGUGCGCAGGCGGCCUGUAAAGUCAGGAGUGAAAUCCCGGGGCUUAACCCCGGAAUUGCUUCUGAAACUCACAGGCUAGAAUCCGGGAGAGGUUGGGAGAAUUCCUAGUGUAGAGGUGAAAUUCGCAGAUAUUAGGAGGAAUACCAGUGGCGUAGGCGCCCAACUGGACCGGUAUUGACGCUCAUGUACGAAAGCGUGGGUAGCAAACAGGAUUAGAUACCCGCGUAGUC
RNAcentral lists this ribosomal RNA (439 nucleotides) under uncultured bacterium. Its description in RNAcentral is "partial 16S ribosomal RNA". It matches the Rfam family "Bacterial small subunit ribosomal RNA", at positions 339 to 795 of the family's 1533-position model. The record is from RNAcentral.